This 441-nucleotide ribosomal RNA is filed under the name Triticum aestivum (bread wheat). RNAcentral describes it as "partial small subunit ribosomal RNA". The record is from RNAcentral. Lineage: Eukaryota; Viridiplantae; Streptophyta; Magnoliopsida; Poales; Poaceae.
AUGCUGGACUGCCUCUGCCUGCACUGCACUGCAUGCAUAAAAUCAGAAACCCUUGGCACCCCUAUCCUACUGUCACAUACUGAAUCUCCCACAAGAGAGAGAGAGAGAGAGCACAUGUCUAUCUGCCGUGGUCUUCGCCGGCUGCCACAGCUGAGUGGCCAGGCCCAACAUGCCGAGGUGCAGCUACUCCAAGAAGGCUUCUUCGGUUCUGGCUCCGAGCGCGCCAUGUCCGCCGCACCGCUCCGGCGCCGGCGGAGGUGGACGUGCGCACUGCCUGAGCAACAGCCUGAUGAUUCCUUGUACACCGUUUACUCCUCCAUCCUCGACGACGACGACCAGUCGGGUGCCGGCGGCAUCACGCUCUCAACACCAGCAACAUCUUCUUCUCCUGCCUUCUUUAUAGCUGUCGGUGCUGUCGCUCAAAAGAUGAAUGGGAAUUGA